Oncorhynchus kisutch (coho salmon) is the source of this 379-nucleotide long non-coding RNA. RefSeq lists it as uncharacterized. The record is from RefSeq and is a predicted model, not a curated record. The transcript has 3 exons. NCBI's taxonomy places the organism in Eukaryota, Metazoa, Chordata, Actinopteri, Salmoniformes, Salmonidae.
UGGAAGGCUAUUGAGGAUGGUAGCUGACUCUAUAGCCACUCCAUUUUUUCAUAUUUUUAAGACAAAUGUUUGUCCUCAGACCCGGAGGGAAGUCCUUCCACUACCCAAGAAUGGGGAAGGAUGGCCAGCCACACAGGAGGGUGAUUUUCACUAAGGAGGAGAAGGAGGCCGUGCUGACCGAGAUGCAUGCUGGCCAUUUCGGAGUGAAGCGCAUGAUUGCCAAAAUCAACCUACGCUUCUUCCAACAGGGAAUUGUCAAGGAGGUCAGCAUCCUGUCUAGCCUGACAGAAGUUUGAGUGGGUGAAAACUGUGGCGCCGGAGUUGAAGCCAAUCAAAGUUUUCACCAUGGCAACUGAUCGUCCAAUUAAAAUGUUGCCUU